GGUGAACUGAGUUUCAUAAUCCAAGGCGACCUUCUCAAGGAAGCUGUUGCCUUUGGUGCACUCACCUCCUGGGGCCAGGUCGCAUGCACAAGCUGGAGACUCCAACCUCACAGAGCUGACCCUCCAGUGGAAAGAGGCAGAAGCCACAUCACCCACAGGUAGAUGAGUAAUCUCGGAUAGUGCCAG
This 186-nucleotide long non-coding RNA is filed under the name Macaca mulatta (Rhesus monkey). RNAcentral describes it as "lncRNA (ENSMMUG00000039829.2)". Lineage: Eukaryota; Metazoa; Chordata; Mammalia; Primates; Cercopithecidae. The record is from RNAcentral.